GCUCCUACGGGACGCAGCAGUGGGGGAUAUUGCACAAUGGGGGAAACCCUGAUGCAGCGACGCCGCGUGGGCGAAGAAGUAUUUCGGUAUGUAAAGCUCUAUCAGCAGGGAAGAAAAUGACGGUACCUGACUAAGAAGCCCCGGCUAACUACGGGCCAGCAGCCGCGGUAAUACGUAGGGGGCAAGCGUUAUCCGGAUUUACUGGGUGUAAAGGGAGCGUAGACGGCAAUGCAAGCCAGAUGUGAAAGCCCGGGGCUCAACCCCGGGACUGCAUUUGGAACUGCGUAGAUGGAGCGUCGGAGAGG
This 305-nucleotide ribosomal RNA is filed under the name uncultured bacterium. RNAcentral's name for it is "bacterial SSU rRNA". It matches the Rfam family "Bacterial small subunit ribosomal RNA", at positions 335 to 657 of the family's 1533-position model. The record is from RNAcentral.